Molecule: ribosomal RNA, 491 nt
Filed under: uncultured bacterium
Lineage: Bacteria
Description: partial 16S ribosomal RNA
Rfam family: Bacterial small subunit ribosomal RNA
Source: RNAcentral
AGUGAACGCUGGCGGUAGGCCUAACACAUGCAAGUCGAACGGCAGCACAGUAAGAGCUUGCUCUUACGGGUGGCGAGUGGCGGACGGGUGAGGAAUACAUCGGAAUCUACUUUUUCGUGGGGGAUAACGUAGGGAAACUUACGCUAAUACCGCAUACGACCUACGGGUGAAAGCAGGGGAUCUUCGGACCUUGCGCGAUUGAAUGAGCCGAUGUCGGAUUAGCUAGUUGGCGGGGUAAAGGCCCACCAAGGCGACGAUCCGUAGCUGGUCUGAGAGGAUGAUCAGCCACACUGGAACUGAGACACGGUCCAGACUCCUACGGGAGGCAGCAGUGGGGAAUAUUGGACAAUGGGCGCAAGCCUGAUCCAGCCAUACCGCGUGGGUGAAGAAGGCCUUCGGGUUGUAAAGCCCUUUUGUUGGGAAAGAAAAGCAGCAGGUUAAUACCCCGCUGUUCUGACGGUACCCAAAGAAUAAGUACCGGCUAACUUCGU